CAGCCCACCCCACGCCGUGCCCCGCUGGGGAAUACCAGCCAGCCAGGGGCUCUGCAGCCUGUGUUCCAUGCCAGAGGGGCUUCUACUGCCAGGAGCUGGUUGCAGGAGACCCCAAGCGCUGCCCACCACACUCCUACUGUCCUACAGGCACACAGGUUCCUCUCACGUGUCCUGAAGGCACUUUCACUCCUGAAAACAUGACUGGCCUCUGGAAUGAGAAGGAAUGCCUGCCAUGCUUACCUGGUCACUACUGCAGGCAUGGGCGGCUGGAGGGGAAAUGUGCUGCUGGGUACUUCUGCCUUGCUGGGAGCUCUCAAUCCACCCCCCAGGGCCAUGGCUUUUCCUGGCGCUUCCCAUCUGGGUGCCACUGGGGUCAGGUGUGUGCGGGGCUGUGUCCUGCAGGUUUCUACUGCCUGGAGGGAUCUGAGCUACCUAUAGCAUGUCCUGCCAAUACUAUUAGAGCAGUUCCAGGCGCUGUGAAGAGAGAAGACUGCCUGCCCUGUCCACCAGGCCACUGGUGCAAAACAGGGGAUUCAGAGGCCUACCCAUGUCCGUCAGGACACUAUUGCUUUGGAAGCAAUGGCAGCGACCAUAGCAGUCUCCUGGCACCUCAGAAGUGCCCUCCGCAAACUUACCGCAAGCACCCGGGAGCUCAGAGCCUGACAGAUUGCCAGCCAUGUCCUCCAGGCUACCACUGCCCUUUAUCAGGUCUGACCAGGUUUGAGGAUUAUCCGUGCCCCCCUGGUUACUGGUGCCCUGGUCAAGGGGACACUUUCCUGUGUCCAGCUGGUACUUCCAGGAUCCAGCCUGGUGCAAAGUCAUUGGAAGAGUGUGAUCCCUGCUCACCUGGAUACUAUUGCCCGGAUCCAGCGCAGACAGGGCUGCCUAACACCCGAGGAGUACCCUGCAAACCUGGCUACGAAUGCCCAGCAGGUUCAGUAAAUCCGAAGCCUUGCAGGCCUGGAUUAUACUGUGGUGCUCGCACAGCCGUGCCUUCCAUGUGCCCUGCUGGGUAUUACUGUCCCGAAGGAUCGUCGACAUAUAAUAGCCCUGAGCAGCUGUGUGUGUUUCCCUACUACUGUCCCCCAGGCAGUGGCCAUCCACUGCCUUGUGAAGGAGGGUACAUGGCCCUCAGCUCUCCUGGUCCAAGGGAUUCAUUUGAGAAAUUCUGCAGAAUCUGCGACGCAGGCACCUAUCGCAGCGACUCCCUCAUCACAUCACCCUGCCAGCCCUGCCCAGCCGGCUUCAUCUGCCCCCAAGGUAACUGGAGCUGCCACGGAGGAGUGGGGCAAGAAACAGCAGCUUAAACU
This 1310-nucleotide long non-coding RNA is filed under the name Athene cunicularia (burrowing owl). Its description in RNAcentral is "lncRNA (ENSACUG00000002726.1)". The record is from RNAcentral. Lineage: Eukaryota; Metazoa; Chordata; Aves; Strigiformes; Strigidae.